Molecule: RNA transcript, 362 nt
Organism: Tribolium castaneum (red flour beetle)
Lineage: Eukaryota; Metazoa; Arthropoda; Insecta; Coleoptera; Tenebrionidae
Exons: 3
Source: RefSeq, a predicted model, not a curated record
UUAGGCAACGUGAUCAACAAAAAAAUUAAUAGCGAAGCGGAGAUUCUUCCAUGUCCUUCCAUGACUGAAUUCUCAACUUCUUCAAUUCCUUCAACUUCUCAACAAGACCUCGAUGGUUUUGGAGGAAAAGAAACACCUUCAGCGUCAUCUAUCACUCCUUCUUUUGUCCCCGAGACCCCAAGACAAAGAGAAACAUCCCGAGGAAAAAAAAAUGCUGACAGUAAUGUUUCUACUUUGAUAAACAUAGCAGAGAAAAUUCAAACCACUGUACAGUCCUCAAAAAAUACAAUGAAUUCAUCAGAAGCAUUUGAAACAUUUGUGGGAAUAACGCUUAUGGAAAUGCCCGCAGAGGUUCGCCAAAA